Long non-coding RNA from Vidua chalybeata, 472 nucleotides. RefSeq lists it as uncharacterized. The transcript is spliced from 3 exons. NCBI's taxonomy places the organism in Eukaryota, Metazoa, Chordata, Aves, Passeriformes, Viduidae. The record is from RefSeq and is a predicted model, not a curated record.
CACAAAUUUCUAACAAGUCAGCUGUUACAGGGUGAAUUUUAUCAGCAACAACACUUACUCAGAAGCUGUGCAUAUCCGUAGCAGCAUCAUCAAGGUCCUCUCUGUUGCAAAUUGAAUGGUUGGGAUUUGGAUGAAGAGUUCAUAUCUUAAUAAAAAAAAAUUAAAGAAGAUUAUGGGGAAAAUUCCUGUUUCCAACCAGAUCUAAUCUUUACUGUGCUACCCUCAGAAAAAAACCCCAGAAGUUCCUGUAAGAAGAUAAUGGAUCCUUUCAGAUGGAUAACUUUCAGGAGUUAAAUAUAAGACUAUUUUCAGAAAUGCUUGCAAGGGAACUGUUUUACUGCCCUGUGUUGCUUUUGUGCAGAGCAGCACCUGAAUUGCUUUCCUUGAGUCUGAUCAAGCUGUAUUAGAAAGGGUUUAGUGGGAAUGGAAGAGCUAACACAGAUGAUUACAGCAAUUGGGAAAAACUUCCCCA